UUAGCAACGCCACCAGCAUUGCCGUUGCCUUAGUGCAAAGGCUUUUUCUGGCCAUUCAGUUGGAUAAUAUUUUCCUGCAAUGCUUUAAAGAGAGAUCAGGAUUCAUGACAGCUGAAAGAACUUUUUUGGUUGUUGGAAUGUUAAAUUCAGCGCUUAUGCUGGGAAUGGAAGUGAGGAACCGGAGAGCAACCCAACCAUCACGCUAAAUGGGAUAUUGCACUUGGAGCUGAGGAAAUCAAAUAUUCUGAUCACCUGAAAGUGGUGAUGAGGCAGCUCCCAGGAGGAUAACUGGGGCGAAGUGUGAAUAGAUACUACAUGGUCAGGUAAGUUAAAGCAAC
Molecule: long non-coding RNA, 338 nt
Filed under: Anser brachyrhynchus (Pink-footed goose)
Lineage: Eukaryota; Metazoa; Chordata; Aves; Anseriformes; Anatidae
Description: lncRNA (ENSABRG00000014564.1)
Source: RNAcentral